UCCUGGGAAGAAGGAUGAGAUGGUUCCUCAGCCCUGGACCACAGCCCCAUCCAUCUGCCCAGGGAGAAAGCCUGGGAUGGAGUUGGGUGUGAUGGUUGGCACUCAAGCAGCCAUUUUGGACCAUAAAGCUUCAUGCAAAGAUGAUGGGCAACAAACUCAAGGAACCUGAGUGCCCAACUUCAUGGAGUUGCCCCUGGACUGCCCGCCUCUAGACUUUUUCAUAUAAGAGAGAAAUAAAGUUCAAUCUUGUUUAAGUCACUGUUA
Galeopterus variegatus (Sunda flying lemur) is the source of this 264-nucleotide long non-coding RNA. RefSeq lists it as uncharacterized. The transcript is spliced from 2 exons. Lineage: Eukaryota; Metazoa; Chordata; Mammalia; Dermoptera; Cynocephalidae. The record is from RefSeq and is a predicted model, not a curated record.